AGUUGCGAACGGGUGAGUAACGCGUAGGUAACCUGCCUUGUAGCGGGGGAUAACUAUUGGAAACGAUAGCUAAUACCGCAUAAAAUUGAUUAUUGCAUGAUAGUCAAUUAAAAGGUGCAAUUGCAUCACUACCAGAUGGACCUGCGUUGUAUUAGCUAGUUGGUGAGGUAACGGCUCACCAAGGCGACGAUACAUAGCCGACCUGAGAGGGUGAUCGGCCACACUGGGACUGAGACACGGUCCAGACUCC
Molecule: ribosomal RNA, 250 nt
Filed under: uncultured Streptococcus sp.
Lineage: Bacteria; Bacillati; Bacillota; Bacilli; Lactobacillales; Streptococcaceae
Description: partial 16S ribosomal RNA
Rfam family: Bacterial small subunit ribosomal RNA
Source: RNAcentral